GGAUUGUGGCUCAGUGACAGAGCACUUGCCUCACACAUAUGAGGUACUGGGUUCAAUCCUCAGCGCCA
RNAcentral lists this transfer RNA (68 nucleotides) under Marmota monax (woodchuck). RNAcentral's name for it is "tRNA.Val". Lineage: Eukaryota; Metazoa; Chordata; Mammalia; Rodentia; Sciuridae. The record is from RNAcentral.